This 876-nucleotide ribosomal RNA is filed under the name uncultured Nitrososphaerota archaeon. Its description in RNAcentral is "bacterial SSU rRNA". It matches the Rfam family "Archaeal small subunit ribosomal RNA", at positions 1 to 884 of the family's 1478-position model. The record is from RNAcentral. Lineage: Archaea; Thermoproteati; Nitrososphaerota.
UUCCGGUUGAUCCUGCCGGACCUGACUGCUAUCGGAUUGAUACUAAGCCAUGCGAGUCAUUGUAGCAAUACAAGGCAGACGGCUCAGUAACGCGUAGUCAAUCUACCCUAUGGACGGGAAUAAUCUCGGGAAACUGAGAAUAAUGCCCGAUAGAACAUUAUGCCUGGAAUGGUUUAUGUUUCAAAUGAUCUAUCGCCAUAGGAUGGGACUGCGGCCUAUCAGUUUGUUGGUGAGGUAAUGGCCCACCAAGACUAUUACAGGUACGGGCUCUGAGAGGAGUAGCCCGGAGAUGGGUACUGAGACACGGACCCAGGCCCUAUGGGGCGCAGCAGGCGAGAAAACUUUGCAAUGUGCGAAAGCACGACAAGGUUAAUCCGAGUGGUUUCUGCUAAAGAAACCUUUUGUCAGUCCUAGAAACACUAACGAAUAAGGGGUGGGCAAGUUCUGGUGUCAGCCGCCGCGGUAAAACCAGCACCUCAAGUGGUCAGGAUGAUUAUUGGGCCUAAAGCAUCCGUAGCCCGUUUUGUAAGUUUUCGGUUAAAUCCAUGCGCUUAACGUAUGGGCUGCCGGGAAUACUGCAUAACUAGGAAGUGGGAGAGGUAGACGGUACUCGGUAGGAAGGGGUAAAAUCCUUUGAUCUAUUGAUGACCACCUGUGGCGAAGGCGGUCUACCAGAACACGUUCGACGGUGAGGGAUGAAAGCUGGGGGAGCAAACCGGAUUAGAUACCCGGGUAGUCCCAGCUGUAAACUAUGCAAACUCAGUGAUGCAUUGGCUUGUGGCCAAUGCAGUGCUGCAGGGAAGCCGUUAAGUUUGCCGCCUGGGAAGUACGUACGCAAGUAUGAAACUUAAAGGAAUUGGCGGGGGAGCACCACAA